This is a long non-coding RNA of Magnolia sinica, 1789 nucleotides long. RefSeq lists it as uncharacterized. Lineage: Eukaryota; Viridiplantae; Streptophyta; Magnoliopsida; Magnoliales; Magnoliaceae. The record is from RefSeq and is a predicted model, not a curated record. The transcript has 3 exons.
UAUUUGGAGGGCUUCUACUACCAUGCAAUCUGAAAAGACCUCGAAGAACCUGACAAUCAAUCAAUGUGGGGAACCAAAUUCCUAGUCAGCAAUUAUGAAGAAUUCUCAUCAUAGUAUAAAAAUUUGAAACAAGAACAAAUCGAGUAUAAUGAUGAUUUCUUCCAAUUCUCAAUGCCAUUCUCAAAUGUGAGGAAUUUAUGAAUUCCGAAGAACAAAUCCAGCAUCCACUAGAAGGAAUAUUUAAGACGAUAUUAUAGAUGAAGACAACAAACAAAAAGACAAUGGAUCAAGGUGUGAGUUAAUUAGAUGGAUUGGGACAAAUGAUUCAAGAUUAAAGGGUGAGAUGAGGGACAUCAUGGCAAAUUUAGCCCACAAUAUGAAGAAAGUGUAGUAUGCAAAGAUAUGGAGUUCCAUGAAGAUAGGAUAUUCCAAUCUGUGGGCUUUCAUCAUCAACUUCUGGGAGACCAAAACUGAUGUGUGAUAAGGGCAUGUUGUGGUGGACGUGCGUGGAUAUCUGAACCUGGCGGUGAAUUGUUCCCAAGCAGAGGGACUGAUGCAACCCAAAGUCGGCUAUGAUUGGAUUUGAUGAUUGUUGGGUCAAUUUGGGGUGUCAAUCGUGUAAUAAAUGUCUUUAAGUCCACGAAAAGACGUUGAUGUUCAGUUUUAUUGGUUUAGUAGUUUUUACUAGCUUUCUACAACUAGGUGUACUACAUUUGGAGUGGCAUGCUACAGUAACAUUCCUAUAUCCUCUUUUUGAAUUUGUUGAUAUUCUUCUUAUUUUCUACUUUUGGACUAGCGUGCUAUAGAAACCUUUCUAUAUCUUAUCAUUUAAUUUGUUACUAUUUCUUUUUCAACUUUCUACUUUUCACUCUCUUGCUACAAAUCCUACCACCCCGAGUCAUUCUCUCCCCUUAAUUCAAUUGUCAUCAUUAUAUCUUUCAAGAGCUCUGAUGCAUGCAUUAACAAGUGUUAAUAAGUGUGGAUAAACUCCUUUAUUAGGAGAGUUAAGAGAAUAAAUAUGCUGUGCUAGUUAUCCUCAUCGCAUAUGUAAAGAAAAGCAUGUAUAAAUAGGUGUAUGGAAGGAUGUGAGUUUUAAGAACAAAGUGUUAGGAUAGUAGAUAGAUUAUCCAGUUAUAAAUACAAUUGUAUAGUAGAUCUUAGAUUUGAUUAUAGUAGAUUAUCUCCUAAGAUAUAUUAAGAGUGCACAUAUGUGAGCUUAUUAUUAAUGACACACACACACACACACGAAUGUACGCAUACGUAUUUCUACUUAUAAUUCUCUACAAUAUUCUCCUUAAGAUUAUCAUGGUGUCAAAGCCAACAUCACAUCCUGUGUUUGAGCGAGGGAAGGAGCGACCUGUGGAGAGGGCUACUUGGACAAUCAGAGUGCAUCCAUCAUUCUUGGAAAGGACUACUUGGACAACCAAAGUGCAGUUGCCAUGGUGGAAAAGGGCUACUUGGAAAAGAGGCUAGAGUGAGUGCCAACACUUAGUGGGCUGCCUUGGACUUUAGCUAGUGUGGUGAUGUGUUAUGAUCCUUGGUGUUUUAAGGGCCUAGCUUGAUGCAUUCCAUCAAUCCUGGGGCUUGUGGCGUAUUGAUUAGGUUUUUAUUUUUUAUUUUUUAUUUUAUUUUUUUAAGGGCUUUGUGCACCGACAAGUCCGAUUAGAAAGCCUUGGCACAUUAAAAACUGGUUUGGUCCAAAAUCAUCCUGAUUUUGGGGUGCGUGCCACCCAAAAUUCCUCUCCAAAUGAGGGACUUCAGGAAUAUCGACCUGGUCUUGUUAAUCUGU